UAGAGUUUGAUCCUGGCUCAGGAUGAACGCUAGCUACAGGCUUAACACAUGCAAGUCGAGGGGAAACGAUAUUGGAAGCUUGCUUCCGAUAGGCGUCGACCGGCGCACGGGUGAGUAACGCGUAUCCAACCUGCCCAUCACUUGGGGAUAACCUUGCGAAAGUAAGACUAAUACCCAAUGAUAUCUCAAGAAGACAUCUGAAUGAGAUUAAAGAUUUAUCGGUGAUGGAUGAGGAUGCGUCUGAUUAGCUUGUUGGCGGGGUAACGGCCCACCAAGGCGACGAUCAGUAGGGGUUCUGAGAGGAAGGUCCCCCACAUUGGAACUGAGACACGGUCCAAACUCCUACGGGAGGCAGCAGUGAGGAAUAUUGGUCAAUGGGCGAGAGCCUGAACCAGCCAAGUAGCGUGCAGGAUGACGGCCCUAUGGGUUGUAAACUGCUUUUAUAAGGGAAUAAAGUGAGUCUCGUGAGGCUUUUUGCAUGUACCUUAUGAAUAAGGACCGGCUAAUUCCGUGCCAGCAGCCGCGGUAAUACGGAAGGUCCGGGCGUUAUCCGGAUUUAUUGGGUUUAAAGGGAGCGUAGGCCGGAGAUUAAGCGUGUUGUGAAAUGUAGAUGCUCAACGUCUGCACUGCAGCGCGAACUGGUUUCCUUGAGUACGCACAAAGUGGGCGGAAUUCGUGGUGUAGCGGUGAAAUGCUUAGAUAUCACGAAGAACUCCGAUUGCGAAGGCAGCUCACUGGAGCGCAACUGACGCUGAAGCUCGAAAGUGCGGGUAUCGAACAGGAUUAGAUACCCUGGUAGUCCGCACGGUAAACGAUGGAUGCCCGCUGUUGGUCUGAAUAGGUCAGCGGCCAAGCGAAAGCAUUAAGCAUCCCACCUGGGGAGUACGCCGGCAACGGUGAA
RNAcentral lists this ribosomal RNA (901 nucleotides) under uncultured bacterium. Its description in RNAcentral is "bacterial SSU rRNA". It matches the Rfam family "Bacterial small subunit ribosomal RNA", at positions 1 to 898 of the family's 1533-position model. The record is from RNAcentral.